Molecule: long non-coding RNA, 1238 nt
Organism: Megachile rotundata (alfalfa leafcutting bee)
Lineage: Eukaryota; Metazoa; Arthropoda; Insecta; Hymenoptera; Megachilidae
Source: RefSeq, a predicted model, not a curated record
CGAUGUAAACAGAAAAACUCAAUGAGACACUUUUAAAAAUGUUGCGAUUCUUUUAGAAGUAAUGAAACAGUAUAACAGACAAGUACAAGUGCAAGAGUACUUUUCAAAAGCGAUUUCGAAGAAUGAAACUCAAGUGUUUAGAAUUGAAUGAGUAUUGAAUACUCAUAUCUUGUCUGAACGGAUAUCCGAGUACUGGAGUAUGGAUGCACAUAAAUUCAAACAAUAGUAAGAACUCUAUGACCGUUACAAGUUCUUAUCUAAUCUUAGAAUUGUGCCAUUAGUCUCGACACGUCGUCAUUUCUCGUAUGAGAUGGUUAAUUAUUAAAACGUUUUAAAGACAAUGGGUAAUAAAAAGAGUAAAAAUAAUGAUGACAUAGAAACGAUAGCAACGUCGUAAAUAAUUUUGAAAUGUUUGUAGGCAAACUAUCGUAUUCCUUGUCAAAAAUAAUAUUUCGUGGAACGUCGCUGAAAACGACGAGUCAAGGACCGAAUAUCCGGGUCGAAGAAAUGCGUAGGGAGAGAUGCAGCGGAAGUUUCUAUCAGGAGUACUUCCUGAUUACGCCUGGCAUAAAACCGAGAGGCAGAUAAGAUUACACUUCAGGAUUUCUGUUAGCUUUUCUCAAGAGGAAAUAUGUAAUAGGGUUUCCUAAAUUUUUAUACAGAGAUACAUUGUUGAAUUUUUUGCUUGUAAUGCAUUAGUUUACAAGGCCCCACAUUUCUGAUAUUUCAAAAAUUCCAAAAUCGGCCCACGACCCAUCACAAUUUGCCUGGACCCAUACUUCUAGAGGAACACCACAAUCUGGCAAAAGAUUCCUUUCACUUUACUCUCGAAUUCGAUCGGAACGAGGAGAAGGUUCGACGGACGUAGAUGGAGUUUCUAUAGCUACUUUAUUUAGAAAUUUGAAGAUGACACGAUAGCGAAGACUAACCCAAACUCAUACUUGUGACGAAAUCGGGUCAAUGUCGGCUCAAGGCUAAUGACUUGUUCAUGUCCUAGAUAGGUAAUGUAUGUACACACAAAGGAUUUUAGGCGUAUAGUUGAGAAACAUUGACGAGAAUUGAAUGAACAUCACCUUUUAAACAUUGUUAAAUGAAGAAUAGAAUUUUAGCAAUUUAAUAGUUGAAUUCGUACAAGAGAUUCAUGCAGAAUACAUGCAUAAAAGUGUAAUUAAAAAAGUAGGGGUCGUAAAAUUUUUCGUUUCGCGUUAUUUACCUUACCUGUCCAUUUCAAUGCUGUA